UUUUGUUGAGACGAUGUAGAUAGUUGUUGAGCGUGUUCACUUAAAAGGGAAGUUCGGUAGAUUCCGACACGGACCCGCCACUGUAAACAGGCAUCAGCAGGGUACUGCUGGAGCUUUCAGAAUAGCCACUGGAACUGUGAGGAACCGGGAAGGCCUGAAAGAUAAGCCUGGAGUCAGGAGACCUGCCUGUUUUGACAUCACUGU
RNAcentral lists this non-coding RNA (204 nucleotides) under Paenibacillus polymyxa. RNAcentral also lists the same sequence under 1 other name. The record is from RNAcentral. Lineage: Bacteria; Bacillati; Bacillota; Bacilli; Caryophanales; Paenibacillaceae.